UCCUGACCCAGGAACCAAACCAGAGUCUCCUGCAUUGCAGGCAGAUUCUUUACCUACUGAGCUAUCAGGGAAGCUGCUGCCUUCUAGAAUGCAUACUCACUGCCAGGAGGUGUAGCAGCCAGUGUUUGAGCAUAAACAUGAAAACUCCAUUCUCUGAUGGAAGAGCUGAAAACUUUGUGGGCUUUGAGUCCCUGAUGACAUCAUGAAACUGUCCUACAAUCAUUUGCCCAGGCUGUGCCUUAUGGCAUGUGGGAUCUUAGUCCCCCCACUAAGGAUUGAACCCACCUCCCCUUCAUUGGC
Molecule: long non-coding RNA, 300 nt
Organism: Dama dama (fallow deer)
Lineage: Eukaryota; Metazoa; Chordata; Mammalia; Artiodactyla; Cervidae
Exons: 3
Source: RefSeq, a predicted model, not a curated record